Molecule: long non-coding RNA, 632 nt
Organism: Solea senegalensis (Senegalese sole)
Lineage: Eukaryota; Metazoa; Chordata; Actinopteri; Pleuronectiformes; Soleidae
Exons: 3
Source: RefSeq, a predicted model, not a curated record
UCAGUGGUUUGAUUGGCCAUUGACGCUCAUAUUGACGCUCGCAAGCGUUAGAAAAAAAGAAAACGAUAUUACAUUCAAAAACAAAGGCUCGAGACUGUGCAGUGCUGAUCUACAGAUUCACCGGGGAGAAGGAGGUGGACCUAAUGUCGACCUUUGUACCAGAGACGUUCAGAGGUCAAGGUGUCGCUGCACUGCUGUCACAGGCUGCCAUGGAGUUUCUGGUUGAAGAAAACCUCAAGGCUCGCGUCUCCUGUUGGUACAUACAGAAAUACGUUGAGGAUCAUCCGCUGCAGAAGUUUAAAGACGUGGUCAUCACGUGACUGAACGACCGCUUCACAUUAACGACGUUAAUGACCUCGAUGUGAAAAAAAUCCAAAACACUCUCCUUUGUCUGUGGACUCCACAGCAUCUAAAAGUGGUGGAUAUGAAUAAGAAAAAAAUCAAUUUUAUUGAUUCAAUUAACUGAAAAAUCCAGAGGGAAAAUCAGGGUUUAAAAAAACAUCAUAUUGAUUAUUUAAUGUUGAUCAACUUUUGCUGAUCUGAAACAGUUUAAUCUGUGUAUUCUGUGGAUUUUCUCACACACUUGUAAUUUUUUUAAAAAUGUAGGUGAAUACAAUAAAAUAUUUAAUCAA